GAGCAACUGAUCAAAAUCAUCUCUUGCGUAACCACAAUUCCCACUCCCACCAGAAACACCAGCUGGAUUAUUACUACUCAAUAGGUUGGUAAAAUAAGAACUUGGCGCGGAUCGAUAUCGAGUUAAACCAGAAGUCAUCUGUUGCUGCUGAUGACUUCUAUGAUCCAUACUUUUCUCCCUUCAAAUACUCAAAAGAAAUCUCCUUUAUUACAAAAACAACAAUAUAACAACUACUAUGCCUCAAUCUCAAC
RNAcentral lists this unclassified non-coding RNA (251 nucleotides) under Hevea brasiliensis (rubber tree). Lineage: Eukaryota; Viridiplantae; Streptophyta; Magnoliopsida; Malpighiales; Euphorbiaceae. The record is from RNAcentral.